UCCGGUUUGGCACCGGCAGUCUUCGAUGAGUCCCCGGCAUUACCCGCUGGUAACAUAGGGCAAGGGUUGCGCUCGUUGCGGGACUUAACCCAACAUUUCACAACACGAGCUGACGACAGCCAUGCAGCACCUGUCACUCGGCUCCCGAAGGCACUCCGCCGUCUCCGGCAGAUUCCGAGGAUGUCAAGGGUAGGUAAGGUUCUUCGCGUUGCAUCGAAUUAAACCACAUGCUCCACCGCUUGUGCGGGCCCCCGUCAAUUCCUUUGAGUUUUAGCCUUGCGGCCGUACUCCCCAGGCGGGGUGCUUAAUGCGUUAGCUUCGGCACGGAAAGGGUCAAUACUCCCCACACCUAGCACCCAACGUUUACGGCUGGGACUAC
This 379-nucleotide unclassified non-coding RNA is filed under the name uncultured bacterium. Its description in RNAcentral is "contains 16S-23S intergenic spacer region". The record is from RNAcentral.